RNAcentral lists this ribosomal RNA (427 nucleotides) under uncultured bacterium. RNAcentral describes it as "bacterial SSU rRNA". It matches the Rfam family "Bacterial small subunit ribosomal RNA", at positions 355 to 774 of the family's 1533-position model. The record is from RNAcentral.
UGGGGAAUUUUGGACAAUGGGCGAAAGCCUGAUCCAGCCAUGCCGCGUGCAGGAUGAAGGCCUUCGGGUUGUAAACUGCUUUUGUACGGAACGAAAAGACUCCUUCUAAUAAAGGGGGUCCAUGACGGUACCGUAAGAAUAUGCACCGGCUAACUACGUGCCAGCAGCCGCGGUAAUACGUAGGGUGCGAGCGUUAAUCGGAAUUACUGGGCGUAAAGCGUGCGCAGGCGGUUAUAUAAGACAGUUGUGAAAUCCCCGGGCUCAACCUGGGAACUGCAUCUGUGACUGUAUAGCUAGAGUACGGUAGAGGGGGAUGGAAUUCCGCGUGUAGCAGUGAAAUGCGUAGAUAUGCGGAGGAACACCGAUGGCGAAGGCAAUCCCCUGGACCUGUACUGACGCUCAUGCACGAAAGCGUGGGGAGCAAACA